AACGAACGCUGGCGGCAUGCCUAACACAUGCAAGUCGAACGAGACCUCCGGGUCUAGUGGCGCACGGGUGCGUAACGCGUGGGAACCUGCCCUUAGGUUCGGGAUAACUCCCCGAAAGGGGUGCUAAUACCGGAUAAUGUCUUCGGACCAAAGAUUGAUCGCCUUUGGAUGGGCCCGCGUUGGAUUAGCUAGUUGGUAGGGUAAAAGCCUACCAAGGCGACGAUCCAUAGCUGGUCUGAGAGGAUGAGCAGCCACACUGGGACUGAGACACGGCCCAGACUCCUGCGGGAGGCAGGAGUGGGGAAUAUUGGAAAAUGGGCGAAAGGAUGAUCCAGCAAUGCCGGGUGAGUGAUGAAGGCCUUAGGGUUGUAAAGCUCUUUUACCCGGGAUGAUAAUGACAGUACCGGGAGAAUAAGCUCCGGCUAACUCCGUG
This 433-nucleotide ribosomal RNA is filed under the name uncultured bacterium. Its description in RNAcentral is "partial 16S ribosomal RNA". It matches the Rfam family "Bacterial small subunit ribosomal RNA", at positions 29 to 507 of the family's 1533-position model. The record is from RNAcentral.